This 769-nucleotide long non-coding RNA is filed under the name Bemisia tabaci. Its description in RNAcentral is "lncRNA ENSASIAIIG005559". Lineage: Eukaryota; Metazoa; Arthropoda; Insecta; Hemiptera; Aleyrodidae. The record is from RNAcentral.
UCAAUUUAACGUCCAGCCACUGAGGAACAGUCACACGUGAUAAUGCUGCUAAUCGUAGGAUUUUCUUCCGCGAACAACCUCCGUUAAAAUCCUCUGAGAAAGAUCGCAAGUGGAGUGAACUCAUCGAAAAUCGUCCUCAAAGUUCGCGUUGUCCUGCGGGAAGGAUCGACGGAUUGGAACUUAAACCGGUGAUUCGACAAUCAAAUUGAAUUCCGACUUAGUAAUCUUGUGAACCGUCAUGAAAAGUGCGGAGUAAAAUAAAGUGAUGUGAUUGUGCUUACCUCCGUCGCAGAUCGAAUAUCACAUGUUUGCCGUCUCUAUUGGAAUAACUCCCGAUGAUAUUUCGUCCAAAGCGUCUACUGCUUUUAAUAAGCUGACUGGGAGAUCAGAACUGAGGUAUGAGCCUGUUCGAGGGCAGAUCGUCCGGUCACUUGACCAAUGCGGAUCUCGAUGAUGGCCGCUCAAGAUGACAAUUUUCCGGUGUCGCCACAGCAACGUUUCCGCUUCAAAGAUGCAAACGUCACCCAACACAAUCACUCCAGUCGAUAUCCGGGCCCCGGCCCAGGCGGCCCAGGCGUGGGCGCCAGCGGGGAUGCCGAACGAUGCGAGGCGUGGCACAUCACUCCCAUCGCCCUGCCCGUGGAGCUACACGCCAAGAGUAUCACCAACACUCAUCAGGACCCAGAGUGUGAUAUUAACGUUACACCUUUAAACCGAGUUAGGAGAAGCAUUCGCCGAGCUGCCUCAUCUUUUCGUGUAUGUAUCUACU